CUACUCGUUGGUGACCACGGCUUUACCCAGUUCCUAGGGCUCAACAUGCAACCCUGUAAAUUUACACACCCCCUCACCCAAUUCCUAGGGCUCAGGGUGUAACUUCCCGCGGGUUGGCAGGAUCUUUAGCCAUUGAAAGAGCCUCACACGGUAAUAUCCUGAUCCUCUAUUGAUUGACAAUCCCCGAGCAAGCAGAAUGCACAUGCUAAGCACACAGCGUCAAGCUCACCAAUCCUGGUACAGGCGACUUCCCCGGUUGGACAGACAAUAUCAGUCUCUCUGGAUCUUAGCUGCUGCACAUCACGGUUGUGCUGGAGAGUCCUGGCCGCUCUUACCUUAGGCUGUCGCUCGGAGGUUUAAAGAACUGACCUACUUCAAGGAUUUUUAAUAAGGGGUGUGUGACGGGACGGACAGGCCGCGCACUGACGGACAGGGGGUAGCCCAGGCCCAGCUGGCGGAGAAAGCCCCGCCCCUCCGACCCUGCUGGGCAUGCUCCCAGCAGAGGCCGGGGAUAAAAGCAGAGGGAGCCCGGCAGUCGAGGAGAGGAGACCGCAGGGUGAGAGAGGAGACCAGGCCGGGCCGGUGAUUCUGCAGCAGCUGGGACCAGAGUCGCUGCCGGUGCCUGACCCUGAUGCCGAGAAAGCAGCCGCCAACCCAGGGAGGCAGGAGCGCGCCCGCAACCCCGGCAGCUGCCCAGACCCGCUCGGGGAAGGACGUGGCUUCGACAAACAAGACUCGGGCGCGAGAUUCUACAUUGCUGAUCCUCCCGGCUGACGUGGUACCGACCGUUCCCUGAAUUCCGAGGCUGCAUGAUCUGCCCCCGAUAACGGAGACCAUGGUGAAGACCGUUGCCGUGAUCGGAGCCGGGGUGAGCGGGCUGGCCUCCAUCAAGUGCUGCCUGGAUGAGGGGCUCCAGCCCACCUGUUUCGAGAGAAGCGACGAUAUCGGGGGGCUCUGGAGAUUCACGGAGCACGUGGAAGAGGGAAGACCCAGCCUCUACAAAUCCGUGGUCAGCAACACCUGCAAGGAGAUGUCCGCCUUCACCGACUUCCCGUACCGUGAGGAUUUUCCCGUCUUUCCGUCCAACUCCCAAGUCCUCGAGUAUCUCCGGAUGUAUGCUAACCAUUUCGGUCUUCUGAAGCACAUCCAGUUCAAGACCACAGUCAUCAGCGUAAGGAAAAGCCCCGAUUUCUCUGCCACUGGCCAGUGGACUAUUGUCACGGAGUCUAAUGGGAAGCAGGAGUCAUCUGUCUUUGAUGCUGUUAUGGUUUGCAUUGGCUAUCUCUCGGAUCCCUCCCUCCCGCUGGAGUCCUUUCCUGGCAUCAAGGUGUUUCAAGGCGAAUACUUUCACAGCCGCCAUUACAAGCACCCGGAUGUGUUUGAGGGGAAGAGAGUCCUUGUGAUUGGCAUGGGGAACUCGGGUGUGGAUAUCGCCGUCGAGGCCAGUCGUGUGGCCAAAAAGGUGAUGAUCAGCACGGGCCGAGGUGCCUGGGUGAUCAGUCGGGUGUUUGACAACGGUUACCCCUGGGACAUGAUCUUCCUCACUCGUUUCAUGAAUGUGAUCCGCAAUUCCCUCCCGGGGCCGCUCACGACGUGGCUGGUUGCUCACAGGACAAGCCAGUGGUUUGACCAUGCAAACUAUGGCCUGAUACCUAAGGACAGAGUCAUGAUACGGGAGCCAGUACUCAAUGAUGAACUUCCGGGCUGUAUCAUCACUGGGAAAAUCACGGUAAAACCAAGUGUAAAGGAGAUCAAGGAAAAGUCGGUCGUGUUUCAAAACAGCCCCACGGAGGAGCCCAUCGACGUUAUCGUCUUUGCCACGGGGUACAAGUUCUCCUUCCCUUUCCUGGAGGAGUCGGUCCUCCAAGUCGAAAAGAAGCAGGCGUCCCUGUACAAAUACAUCUUCCCCCCGCAGCUGGAGAAGCCAACCCUGGCUGUCAUUGGCCUCAUCAAGCCUUUUGGCGCGGUCACGCCGGUCUUCGAAAUUCAAGCUCGCUGGGUCACGCGUGUCUUUAAGGGCUUGAGUCAGCUGCCGCCGGUGAGCGCCAUGGUGGAAGAGAUCAACGAGACAAAGAAAAAUAAAGUUCGCUGGUUCGGUCUGUCCUACGAUGAGGUCCUGAAAACCGAUUGCCUCGUGUAUAUUGACGAACUCGCCUCCUUUAUCGGCUCCAAACCUAAUGUGCUGGCCCUGCUCUUCACGGAUCCAGUCCUGGCCAUGAAAAUUUUCUUUGGCCCAUGCACAGCCUACCAGUACCGACUGACGGGGCCGGGGAAGUGGGACGGAGCCAGGAACGCCAUCCUGACCCAAUGGGACCGGACAAUAAAGCCCAUGAAAACCCGAGUGGUAGAAGAGCCGCCAAACUUCUGUCUCAAUUUGCUUAAACUAAUGGGCCUUCUUGCUCUCUUUGCUGCCAUUUUCCUUGGUUUCAAGUAGUCCAGGUGUGAUAUACAAGCCAGCGUGUAUUCAUCUUCUGGCUAGACACUAUCUCUAUAUGGGGAGUCAGGAAAGAAAUUACUACAAAGUUCCCUUAUGCACAGAAAGUUUUCUAAAGUGUGAAUGGGAACGCCUGUGAAUUUCAGCGCUACACAGACGUGGGGGGCAGGGGUGCAAAGGUCACAGGAGCUGUGGAAUCCGAGUCAGCUGCAACCCUGCGGACUUCACUCUCUCCUGUAAUUUAUAACGAGACAAACUUCUCCCGGAACCCGGUCGAAUGCAAAACGAAAAAGACACCACCUCA
Pelodiscus sinensis (Chinese soft-shelled turtle) is the source of this 2738-nucleotide non-coding RNA. The record is from RefSeq and is a predicted model, not a curated record. NCBI's taxonomy places the organism in Eukaryota, Metazoa, Chordata, Testudines, Trionychidae.